GACGAACGCUGGCGGCGUGCUUAACACAUGCAAGUCGAACGGAAAGGCCCUGCUUGUGUGGGGUGCUCGAGUGGCGAACGGGUGAGUAACACGUGAGUAACCUGCCCUUGACGUUGGGAUAACUUCAGGAAACUGGGGCUAAUACCGGAUAGGAGCUCCUGCUGCAUGGUGGGGGUUGGAAAGUUUCGGCGGUUGGGGAUGGACUCGCGGCUUAUCAGCUUGUUGGUGGGGUAGUGGCUUACCAAGGCUUUGACGGGUAGCCGGCCUGAGAGGGUGACCGGCCACAUUGGGACUGAGAUACGGCCCAGACUCCUACGGGAGGCAGCAGUGGGGAAUAUUGCACAAUGGGCGGAAGCCUGAUGCAGCAACGCCGCGUGCGGGAUGACGGCCUUCGGGUUGUAAACCGCUUUCGCCUGUGACGAAGCGUGAGUGACGGUAAUGGGUAAAGAAGCACCGGCUAACUACGUG
RNAcentral lists this ribosomal RNA (468 nucleotides) under uncultured bacterium. Its description in RNAcentral is "partial 16S ribosomal RNA". It matches the Rfam family "Bacterial small subunit ribosomal RNA", at positions 28 to 507 of the family's 1533-position model. The record is from RNAcentral.